Molecule: long non-coding RNA, 813 nt
Filed under: Spirodela polyrhiza (greater duckweed)
Lineage: Eukaryota; Viridiplantae; Streptophyta; Magnoliopsida; Alismatales; Araceae
Description: long non-coding RNA (SPOL_LNC001253)
Source: RNAcentral
AGGCCGGCAGGCGGCGGCGGCAGCAGCAGCAGCAGCAGCAGCAUCUCGCGGCCGUAAAUGCGGCGUCUGCCAUCGCCGGGGCCUCCGACCAAGUUGGUCGCAGGGUGUCUCUCCUUUUGAGAAGCAUCUGUUCAAUUACUGAGAUUGCUCCGCCGCUGAUCGCUCUGCGUCACCCUCACCGGGGUCAGAGCACGGAAGCGGGAAGAGGGCAGCAACCCAGGAAGGAGACGGAGGGGAUCGCCCUCACCGCCCUCCAUUCACCGCCUUCUCAUUUUCCCCUCAAGGAUUGUCUUCUGAGUUGCCACGCCUGCUUGAACACCUCUGAAAUCAAACGAAAUAAGGAAGAAAUUAACUCAGCGGCGGGGUGGAAGAGGGGCAAUCAUCACAGAAAUGUCAUCCUACCUUCUCCGAAACCUACCUCCGUGAAGGCAUCCACUUAUCCCGCCGUCGCUGUCAGUGAGGCCCUGAGGGACCCAUGGAGUGGGCUUCUUCUCCCUCGGGGCCUGCGCAGGCCGGAACCCCUCCCUCCCCCCCUCCUCGAAACUCGAGCGACGAAGGGCGAGGGGGGAGUGAGUGCGGACUUUCUGAAACCCCGGGGAAAAGAUUCCAGGAUACCCGUGAAAGAGAGAGAGAGAGAGAGAGAGAGAGAAGGGGCAUCAGAGCCGAGAUUGAAUUUUCUGGUUCCACUUUCUCCAUUCUGUCUCUGCUGGUUCAAUUUUGCAAGCGUGUCAUGGGGAAGCGGACCACGUUAUGAAUAUUAUGUUUCUCUGCCCCGCCCAACCUCAGUCUUCUCCUUCGUCUUCCUAUUUCUUG